Molecule: long non-coding RNA, 1099 nt
Filed under: Heterocephalus glaber (naked mole-rat)
Lineage: Eukaryota; Metazoa; Chordata; Mammalia; Rodentia; Bathyergidae
Description: lncRNA (ENSHGLG00000036997.1)
Source: RNAcentral
GGGACAUCCGGGCAGGGGCAGCUGCAGGGCUGGAGCCCCCACUCCAAAGUCAUGGCUAGAGUUGAGCAUGAGUCGGGGAGAACUGACUCUCCUUCCCGCCACGCCUCCCAGCCUGGGCGGAUGGAGCUCGGCCAACUGUACCACAGUGGAUCUGUGCCCCGACUUUGGAUGCUAGGCAGGCUGUGCCUUCAUCACCCGCCAGGAAAGGAGGCUGGCAUUGACUGGGCGCUGCUGUGUGCAUGGAGCUGUGCAUCCGAGGUCCCUUUGCUACCGCUCCUGGCCCUGGAGGAGGGGAGGGCCUCGUCCGCACCUCCCAGGGAAGGAAGCAACUCCAGGAAAUGUCAGGCCGGAGUUUCAACUGAAACCACGCCGAGGAAGAUGCCAGGGAGGGCACAACCCCAGUGCUUCACAGGUGGUUGUUGAGCUGUCACAGGACCCUGUGGUCACCAUGCGUGGGGCCAUGUGACAGAAAAGAGAGGCAGGGACCAGGAACUGGAGCUCCUAGGCUCGUGAUCCGGAGUCCAGCGCUUACCAGUGAAGACACAAGUACGAGCCACCAGUGACCUUUCCAGACUCACUUUCUCACCUGUCAAAUGGGCAGGUCACCCUGAUCUCCCAGGGCCCUUCCCUCUCUUUGGCCUUCUCCUGUUCACCCCUCUGGCAUAUCAGUUACUUUUGCUGCAUCCUCAGCCACCCUGCAGUUAACGGGUGCAGAGCAGCAGCAAUCACUUAGGGUGAUUUUUGUUUGUUCUUUUAGAGAUGGUCUCACUAUGUAGGUCAUAGAUGGCCUCGAACUUUCCUCCUACUUCCUGCCUCAGCCUCCCAAGUGCUGGGAUUACAGGUGUAUGCCAUCAUACCUGGCUUAUCGUGAUUAUUACCACUAUGGGCUCAGUUCUCUGGUUCUCACUGGGUUUCUCCCAUUCUCAGGGCCAUCCGGUGCAAGGAAAGGAGACAGAGACCUUACUCUUGAUGGAAGCCAGGUGACUAAAUUGCAUGGAGCCAUUAGGGUGAGUCCCAAUUCAACGUGACUGGUGUCUUUCUGAGAAGAGGAGACCACGUGAAGACAGGGGAGCGGACACCAUCUACAAGCCCAGGAGAG